Molecule: ribosomal RNA, 497 nt
Filed under: uncultured bacterium
Lineage: Bacteria
Description: partial 16S ribosomal RNA
Rfam family: Bacterial small subunit ribosomal RNA
Source: RNAcentral
GAUGAACGCUGGCGGCGUGCCUAAUACAUGCAAGUCGAGCGAACAGACGAGGAGCUUGCUCCUCUGACGUUAGCGGCGGACGGGUGAGUAACACGUGGAUAACCUACCUAUAAGACUGGGAUAACUUCGGGAAACCGGAGCUAAUACCGGAUAAUAUAUUGAACCGCAUGGUUCAAUAGUUAAAGACGGUUUUGCUGUCACUUAUAGAUGGAUCCGCGCCGCAUUAGCUAGUUGGUAAGGUAACGGCUUACCAAGGCAACGAUGCGUAGCCGACCUGAGAGGGUGAACGGCCACACUGGAACUGAGACACGGUCCAGACUCCGACGGGAGGCAGCAGUAGGGAAGCUUCCGAAAUGGGCGAAAGCCUGAAGGAGCAACGCCGCGUGAGUGAUGAAGGUCUUCGGAUCGUAAAACUCUGUUAUUAGGGAAGAACAAAUGUGUAAGUAACUAUGCACGUCUUGACGGUACCUAAUCAGAAAGCCACGGCUAACUACGUG